RNAcentral lists this ribosomal RNA (300 nucleotides) under uncultured Gemmata sp. RNAcentral's name for it is "bacterial SSU rRNA". It matches the Rfam family "Bacterial small subunit ribosomal RNA", at positions 496 to 795 of the family's 1533-position model. The record is from RNAcentral. Lineage: Bacteria; Pseudomonadati; Planctomycetota; Planctomycetia; Gemmatales; Gemmataceae.
GCUAAGUUCGUGCCAGCAGCCGCGGUAAGACGAACCGUGCGAACGUUGUUCGGAAUCACUGGGCUUAAAGGGCGCGUAGGCGGGCUGUCAAGUCUGGGGUGAAAUCCCACGGCUCAACCGUGGAACUGCCUUAGAUACUGACGGCCUCGAGGGAGGUAGGGGCGAGCGGAACUGUGAGUGGAGCGGUGAAAUGCGUUGAUAUUCACAGGAACUCCGGUGGCGAAGGCGGCUCGCUGGAUCUCUUCUGACGCUGAGGCGCGAAAGCUAGGGGAGCAAACGGGAUUAGAUACCCUGGUAGUC